AAGGAUUUAAGUUAAAAUUAAACUAAUAACCUUCAAAGUUAUAAAUAGAUUGAAUGGCUAAUCUAAGCCUUA
RNAcentral lists this transfer RNA (72 nucleotides) under Idgia oculata. RNAcentral's name for it is "tRNA-Trp". Lineage: Eukaryota; Metazoa; Arthropoda; Insecta; Coleoptera; Prionoceridae. The record is from RNAcentral.